AACGAACGCUGGCGGCAUGCCUAACACAUGCGAGUCGAACGAGACCUUCGGGCCUAGUGGCGCACGGGUGCGUAACGCGUGGGAACCUGCCCUUAGGUUCGGAAUAACUCCCCGAAAGGGGUGCUAAUACCGGAUAAUGUCUUCGGACCAAAGAUUUAUCGCCUUUGGAUGGGCCCGCGUUGGAUUAGCUAGUUGGUAGGGUAAAAGCCUACCAAGGCGACGAUCCAUAGCUGGUCUGAGAGGAUGAUCAGCCACACUGGGACUGAGACACGGCCCAGACUCCUACGGGAGGCAGCAGUGGGGAAUAUUGGACAAUGGGCGAAAGCCUGAUCCAGCAAUGCCGCGUGAGUGAUGAAGGCCUUAGGGUUGUAAAGCUCUUUUACCCGGGAUGAUAAUGACAGUACCGGGAGAAUAAGCUCCGGCUAACUCCGUG
This 433-nucleotide ribosomal RNA is filed under the name uncultured bacterium. RNAcentral describes it as "partial 16S ribosomal RNA". It matches the Rfam family "Bacterial small subunit ribosomal RNA", at positions 29 to 507 of the family's 1533-position model. The record is from RNAcentral.